Wasmannia auropunctata (little fire ant) is the source of this 593-nucleotide long non-coding RNA. RefSeq lists it as uncharacterized. The transcript has 2 exons. The record is from RefSeq and is a predicted model, not a curated record. NCBI's taxonomy places the organism in Eukaryota, Metazoa, Arthropoda, Insecta, Hymenoptera, Formicidae.
UUGUAUUAUUUAUGGCCACUAUAUUUUUGUUGCAAUAAUCUUUUAGUAUAAAAAUACACGUUUUAGGAGAGGUUGUUAUACCAAAAAGUGCAGAUAUUUUUAUACCAAUUAUAAAAAUACAUCGAGACGGAAAUUAUUGGCCAAAUCCAUUUGUGUUUGAUCCUGAUAGAUUUCUCCCAGAAAGAAUAAAGGAUUGUCACGCAUUUUCUUUUUUCCCGUUUAGUGAUGGACCAAGAAACUGUAUAGGUAUGAAAUACGGAAUGAUGUGUACGAAAGUCAUAAUAGCAACACUGAUACGAACAUUCAUAUUUAAAGUUAAUAAAAGUGUUGAAUUAGAUAAAAUAAAAUUGACAUGGGACACAACAUUAUCUAGUACUGAGUCUUUUAAAGUCAAAAUUGAAAAACGAUACAUCUCAUAAAGUAGUAUAGAAAAUUAUAUAGCAAAGUAUAUGAAAUAUUUGAAAUAACAUUUUUGAUAUAAUAUAUAAUAUUUUGCAUAUAUAUAUUACAUUAGUAGUCAGUUUUGACUUACUUCUUCUUUAGUUUAUGACAUUGUAACAUAUGGACAAUAAAACAUAAAAUAUUGAAAUUAA